GAGGUAAAGCCCCAACCCCCAGGACCUCACCUGCUUGGUGUUAAGAUGAAUUUUCGCCCAAGGGCAAACACUUCCUCUGGCCAUUCAAAUUUCCUUGGUUUGCAUUCCCCAACUACUUAAUCCCUGUAGCUCUAACUUUUUUUAGCCAGAAAAAGUCUUGUGCUGCUAUAAGAGAACAAAUAUAUUGACUUUUUUUUUUUUAAGCAGGCAUAGCCCUUGAGGGUAGUGCAGUACCCAUCUCAAUCCAUUUGGAAUCCAUUGUUAACAAGGCACUCAAAAAUCCAAUGUCUCUCCCGAAGAUUUCUCUUGCUAAUCUUGGAGGAAGAGGCAGUCUUAUGAUCUCAUUCCAAGCCUAGAGAAGAAUGAGCCCUGGCCUGAAGGCUGCAGCCUAUUCCUGACACUCCCUGGAGCACUCCCUUUUGAUUUUGGCCUCACUCACUCCAAGGCAACAGAAAGUCUGGGUCUGCUCAGUCCAGGACAUGCCUGGCAAAGUGACUUCCGACAUACAUCCCUCGCACCCAUCAGUUUGACUCCCGACUCUAGAAUACUGAAAGCUGAUUCUUCCAAAAACCUCCUGGCUAGAGCUCUGGGCCCAACAGAAGAAAGGGAAGAGGAAAAGAUCCUUCCAGGAAACUAAAUAUUUAGAAGAAAGGUCCUUAGGAUUUACUGGGAGAAAGAGAAGGGGAGGAAGCUGAGGCAGAAUUGUCAGGCUCCGGAGCCCACUCCUGGAACAGGAUACGGGGUGGGCACUUCCCCAAGAUGGAGCCCUUGGUCAUGCAAUCUUCUCAAGCCCAGCCUGUUUGCUUUGUCUGUAUGGACUCACGAAUGUAAUAGCUGGGGUGUCUUGACCCCAGGGGCAGCUUCAUUUUAAUCUGGGGUUGCCUUUUGGCUGAGAUCAUUCUCCCAGCAGCCGCAACCUUUGGUCAGUUUUGAACGUCUUCUUCCUGCCUCCGUCUCCCCCCUCGUAACUGGGAACCCCCUUUGGAUUCUGCAGUUCUUAGAAUUGGGGGAUUUUCAGUUCUUUCUCUUAG
Molecule: long non-coding RNA, 1031 nt
Filed under: Phascolarctos cinereus (koala)
Lineage: Eukaryota; Metazoa; Chordata; Mammalia; Diprotodontia; Phascolarctidae
Description: lncRNA (ENSPCIG00000031724.1)
Source: RNAcentral